AUUGAACGCUGGCGGCAGGCUUAACACAUGCAAGUCGAGCGGUAGCACAGGGGAGCUUGCUCCCUGGGUGACGAGCGGCGGACGGGCGAGUAAUGUCUGGGAAACUGCCUGAUGGAGGGGGAUAACUACUGGAAACGGUAGCUAAUACCGCAUAACGUCGCAAGACCAAAGAGGGGGACCUUCGGGCCUCUUGCCAUCAGAUGUGCCCAGAUGGGAUUAGCUAGUAGGUGGGGUAAUGGCUCACCUAGGCGACGAUCCCUAGCUGGUCUGAGAGGAUGACCAGCCACACUGGAACUGAGACACGGUCCAGACUCCUACGGGAGGCAGCAGUGGGGAAUAUUGCACAAUGGGCGCAAGCCUGAUGCAGCCAUGCCGCGUGUGUGAAGAAGGCCUUCGGGUUGUAAAGCACUUUCAGCGAGGAGGAAGGUGGUGAACUUAAUACGUUCAUCAAUUGACGUUACUCGCAGAAGAAGCACCGGCUAACUCCGUGCCAGCAGCCGCGGUAAUACGGAGGGUGCUAGCGUUAAUCGGAAUUACUGGGCGUAAGCGCACGCAGGCGGUUUGUUAAGUCAGAUGUGAAAUCCCCGGGCUCAACCUGGGAACUGCAUUUGAAACUGGCAAGCUAGAGUCUCGUAGAGGGGGGUAGAAUUCCAGGUGUAGCGGUGAAAUGCGUAGAGAUCUGGAGGAAUACCGGUGGCGAAGGCGGCCCCCUGGACGAAGACUGACGCUCAGGUGCGAAAGCGUGGGGAGCAAACAGGAUUAGAUACCCUGGUAGUCCACGCUGUAAACGAUGUCGAUUUGGAGGUUGUGCCCUUGAGGCGUGGCUUCCGGAGCUAACGCGUUAAAUCGACCGCCUGGGGAGUACGGCCGCAAGGUUAAAACUCAAAUGAAUUGACGGGGGCCCGCACAAGCGGUGGAGCAUGUGGUUUAAUUCGAUGCAACGCGAAGAACCUUACCUACUCUUGACAUCCAGAGAACUUUCCAGAGAUGGAUUGGUGCCUUCGGGAACUCUGAGACAGGUGUUGCAUGGCUGUCGUCAGCUCGUGUUGUGAAAUGUUGGGUUAAGUCCCGCAACGAGCGCAACCCUUAUCCUUUGUUGCCAGCGGUUCGGCCGGGAACUCAAAGGAGACUGCCAGUGAUAAACUGGAGGAAGGUGGGGAUGACGUCAAGUCAUCAUGGCCCUUACGAGUAGGGCUACACACGUGCUACAAUGGCAUAUACAAAGAGAAGCGACCUCGCGAGAGCAAGCGGACCUCAUAAAGUAUGUCGUAGUCCGGAUUGGAGUCUGCAACUCGACUCCAUGAAGUCGGAAUCGCUAGUAAUCGUAGAUCAGAAUGCUACGGUGAAUACGAUACCCGGGCCU
Molecule: ribosomal RNA, 1363 nt
Filed under: uncultured bacterium
Lineage: Bacteria
Description: bacterial SSU rRNA
Rfam family: Bacterial small subunit ribosomal RNA
Source: RNAcentral